This 274-nucleotide ribosomal RNA is filed under the name uncultured bacterium. RNAcentral's name for it is "partial 16S ribosomal RNA". It matches the Rfam family "Bacterial small subunit ribosomal RNA", at positions 523 to 796 of the family's 1533-position model. The record is from RNAcentral.
AUACGGAGGGUGCAAGCGUUACUCGGAAUCACUGGGCGUAAAGCGCGCGCAGGCGGCUUGGUAAGUUGGAUGUGAAAGCCUACGGCUCAACCGUAGAACUGCAUCCAAAACUGUCAAGCUAGAGUGUGGGAGAGGAAGAUGGAAUUAGUUGUGUAGGGGUAAAAUCCGUAGAGAUAACUAGGAAUACCAAAAGCGAAGGCAAUCUUCUGGAACACUACUGACGCUGAGGCGCGAAAGCGUGGGGAGCAAACGGGAUUAGAUACCCCAGUAGUCC